AUGGAGCAUCACUCAGCCCCAAGGUGUAUAGCCUUCUUCCUCCUCCCUCUCCUGGCCAGCGUACAUUACGCUCAGGCAAACCCUGGUCGUGGCUCGAUCCACUCCAUCUUCAGCUUCGGCAACUCGUACGCCGACACCGGCAACUUUGUCAAGCUCGCAGCGCCACUGCUUCCGAUCAUCCCUUUCAGCAACCUCCCCUAUGGGGAGACCUUCUUCGGUCGCCCCACUGGCCGAGCCUCCAACGGCCGCAUCAUCUUGGACUUCAUUGCCGAUGAGUUUGGGCUCCCUUUCGUCCCCCCGAUUCUCGGUGAAGAACAUAACUUCACCCGUGGAGCAAACUUCGCUGUCGUCGGCGCUACGGCGCUUGAUCUAUCCUACUUCUACGAGAACAACAUCACGAGUGUGCCCCCUUUCAACAGCUCCUUGAGCGUGCAGCUCGGCUGGUUCCAGAAGCUCAAGUCCACCUUGUGCUCAACACCACAAGGUUGCAGAGACUAUUUCAGGAGAUCCGUCUUCUUGAUGGGAGAGUUCGGAGGGAAUGACUACACCUUCAUCAUGGCUGCCGGGAAAACCUUGGACCAGGUCGCGUCAUUCGUGCCGGAAAUCGUACAAUCCAUCUCAGCAGGCGUUGAGGUAUAUAUAGUACUACUAUAUAGUUCCUCCGUACGGAAUUAGUGAACGCUCAAUCAGAUGUAUCAAACGGUUUUGCAGCAACUAGUCAAGGAGGGAGGGAGGUACGUGGUGGUGCCGGGGCAGCCGCCAAUGGGGUGCAUUCCCAUCGUCCUAACCUUGUACGCCAGCCCGAACAAGAAGCACUACGACCGGACCGGGUGCCUGAGGAAAUACAAUGCCCUCGCGCGCUACCACAACAGUUUGUUGGAAGCCGUCUAUCGUCUCCGGAUCAAGUACCCCGCGACCAAGAUCGUCUACGCCGACUACUACACGCCGGUGAUGGAGUUUCUCAGGGAACCCACAAGAUUCGGGUUUAGUGCCUCGUCGAGGCUCCACGUGUGCUGUGGCGCGGGCGGGCCGUACAACUACAACCUGACGGCGGCGUGCGGGUUGCCCGGCGCAAGCGCGUGCGCUAACCCCGCCACACACAUCAACUGGGACGGCAUCCACCUGACGGAGUCUGUAUACAGGCUCAUCGCCACCGGUUGGCUCUGGGGCCCUUACGCGCACCCGCCUAUUCUCAAGGCCAUGCCAGGAUCUCUGGAUCUCAGGACAUCUUCAGUAUCAGAAAUCAACACGUUCAGUUACGCUAGCUCCUGA
RNAcentral lists this ribosomal RNA (1272 nucleotides) under Triticum aestivum (bread wheat). RNAcentral describes it as "partial small subunit ribosomal RNA". Lineage: Eukaryota; Viridiplantae; Streptophyta; Magnoliopsida; Poales; Poaceae. The record is from RNAcentral.